RNAcentral lists this ribosomal RNA (53 nucleotides) under Phaeomonas parva. Lineage: Eukaryota; Pinguiophyceae; Pinguiochrysidales; Pinguiochrysidaceae. The record is from RNAcentral.
ACCCGAACCCGAACCCGAACCCGAACCCGAGCGCCCAUGCCUCGGCUGCUGCA